This 1281-nucleotide long non-coding RNA is filed under the name Lathyrus oleraceus (garden pea). Its description in RNAcentral is "Pisum sativum (pea) long non-coding RNA (PSAT_LNC039507)". Lineage: Eukaryota; Viridiplantae; Streptophyta; Magnoliopsida; Fabales; Fabaceae. The record is from RNAcentral.
AUUAAUCAGUGGCCAUUAUUAGCAAUCCACAUUUAUCCAAUCAAAAUUAGGAUUUAAUUAAUACUAUUAUUUAAGAAAAUUUAAAAAUAAGAAAAAAAAAUUCUCUCUCUCUCCGGUACAUAGCUUCCAAUGGUAAGAUGGAAAAGAAAUAAAUAAAGCUUCCAACUGUAAGAUGGAAAAAAAUAAAAUAAAAGGACACUACCUCUCUAACCCAUGACCACCUUAAAUCUCUCUUAAGCUCUCUCUCUCUCACAGACCCCCCCUCAGGCUGAAAAGAAAAAAAGAAACAAAGAAGAAGAAAUACUUUCUUCCUCUCCUGCCGCACAUCACUUCCACCCACACAGCACAUCCACCGCACCCCGUCUUCCUCUUCACACCAAAACCACCUCCAUCUUCCUCUCUAAAUCCAGCCGAAAAAUCGUUUCUUUCGCCUCCUAAAAACAAUCACCACCGUUCACCACCGAAACAACCUCCACCAUGCACCUCCGUCCGGCGAACCAUCAUCCUCACUCCCUUUCCUUAAUAACUCCCUCGCCGCUACAACCGCCGACAAACCCAACCUACCAUCAUCCCCCAUCGUCUUCACCAUACUAACACCUCAUUCUCGCUUCCGUCAAAACAACCAACUGCGCCUCCGGCGGUUCUCCACCACUUCGUCCUCUGGAUUCAACACCUCCAACCUUCGUCUCUGUUGAAUUUCCAUCUGGUUUAGAAGGAUAACACCUCAUUCUCGCUUCCGUCAAAACAACCAACUGCGCCUCCGGCGGUUCUCCACCACUUCGUCCUCUGGAUUCAACACCUCCAACCUUCGUCUCUGUUGAAUUUCCAUCUGGUUUAGAAGGCUCGUUCAGCCAUCACUGUAUGUUGCAAUAGUGGCGGUGACGACGUUUCUUUUGUGACUUAAAAACUCUGAAAAAAGACCAGGUUUUGUAAAGGUAAGACAAUAACGACCACAACCUCGACUCAACUCGUGUUUCCGCAACAACGGGAAUUUGCGCAACUUCGCCUCGUUUCUUUCCGUCGGGCUUCCAUAACCGAAAAAACCAAACAACAAACCUUCCAGCUCUGCAACGACAACAAAUGACAGCAGUGACACAACUUCGGUAAAUAUAUCGAUUUCGUAUGCUUAAUGUGUUAUGAUUUUGAGAAUAAUUUUGUUAUUACAGUAAACUUUUAUCACUGGUUUGUGUUGAUUUCUCUUGUAUCACAACUUGUUGUAACUAUUAUAGUAAUAUGGAUAUUCUAAAAUUGAUUCCAUUUGGUAGUCGGUUUGAAUACGAC